UAAAAGACGAAGUGGCUGAAACAGCGGCCAGACUUCGUGAAGCUGAAGGAACCAAAAGCCGUCUUUUGCAAACAGCAGCGGAGAAAAUCGCGCCAUUACAGGAUGCUGUUGAUCUUGAAAUCGCAACAGAUGAUGAGAAAGUGCAGCUCGACGAGUGGAAAAAAUACAGGGUGUUGGUAAACCGGGUAGAUACCACAAA
This 199-nucleotide small RNA is filed under the name Salmonella enterica subsp. enterica serovar Typhimurium. RNAcentral describes it as "IS009". Lineage: Bacteria; Pseudomonadati; Pseudomonadota; Gammaproteobacteria; Enterobacterales; Enterobacteriaceae. The record is from RNAcentral.